CCUACGGGUGGCUGCAGUGGGGAAUUUUCCGCAAUGGGCGAAAGCCUGACGGAGCAAUACCGCGUGAGGGAGGAAGGCUCUUGGGUCGUAAACCUCUUUUCUCAGGGAAGAAGCAAUGACGGUACCUGAGGAAUCAGCAUCGGCUAACUCCGUGCCAGCAGCCGCGGUAAUACGGAGGAUGCAAGCGUUAUCCGGAAUGAUUGGGCGUAAAGCGUCCGCAGGUGGCACAUCAAGUCUGCUGUCAAAGCCCCCAGCUUAACUGGGAAGAGGCGGUG
Molecule: ribosomal RNA, 275 nt
Filed under: uncultured bacterium
Lineage: Bacteria
Description: partial 16S ribosomal RNA
Rfam family: Bacterial small subunit ribosomal RNA
Source: RNAcentral